Pelodiscus sinensis (Chinese soft-shelled turtle) is the source of this 1749-nucleotide non-coding RNA. Lineage: Eukaryota; Metazoa; Chordata; Testudines; Trionychidae. The record is from RefSeq and is a predicted model, not a curated record.
UGGCAGGUGCUAAGAUACGGGAUGUAGAACUAAGACUGAAGAGGAUCCUAAAGGGAGCGGGAAAGAAUCCAUUGAUCAUCCUUCAUGUAGGAACAAAUGAUACGGCUAGAUUCUCGCUGGAACUAAUCAAAGGAUACUAUGUCAGGUUGGGGAGAACGCUUAAGGAAAUUUGAGGAUUUGAGUCACUGUUUUCCAUUCCUCAUGAUCCUUUGUGUGGGAAAAAAACCAACAUUUUGCUUCUCUACUUAGGGUGUCAAGCCAUCCAGUGGUGCGGGUUUUUUUGCUCAUUUUCCAUCAGUUUUCAGGUUCGACUACAUGGGUCUUCAGUGCCUGCUACAGGUCCUAAGGGAACAGCUACAGCGUACAGUCAGAGCUUUUUACACCUCUCUCAGAAAUUGACAAACAUCUGAUGCACAUAGGUCUCAUUUGGGAAAUGCUUAAUAACAGAAAUAUUUGUUCCAUAGGAAGAAUACCAGCCAUUCCUCUUCCCUUUGUCCAUUUCCUUCACUGACCUUCUCCAGUGCUUCUGUCUAUUCCCUUUACUGCAGCUUUCCCCUGGGACUCCGUCCAUUCCUCACUAUAGUAUUUACUUGCCUUCUACUGUUUUUCCUCAGGGAGAAACUGAUCCUCACUUUCUUCACUCCACAUGACUUCCUGAUUCCAUUGCUCUCCUCCGGAGACAGCCAUUCCCACUUGUCUUCAUCUAAAUUCCCACCUUUUAGACCUUUCAUGGCUAAAUUCUUCCCUGUGACUUCCACACCCAGCAUCAUCAGGCCAUGCCAAAAUAAUCUUCAAGCUCUGAUGCAAUGUCAUAACAUCAUUAUGUUUCACCAUUAUGACAUCUGGUUUCAUGACAAGUGAAAUGUCCUGGCGGCUCCACCUAAUGAAACUGCGACAAUGCAACAAAUCUUGAGACAGAUGGAAACCCGUUUUCUUUGAGGUCUCCCUUCAUGGUAACUAGCCUGGGAAAAUAAACUGCCCAGUCCAAAUUUCAGAGAACCAUCUGGUGAUCAAAGAGGAAGAAAACACGCUGCUGGUUUCGUCCAUAAGGCUGGUAAAUCCAGGACAUCUCCCCUGUGUAGAUCAACUCAGAGCUCCGAUCCAAGAUGUCAUCUCCCUAGGGGGAACAGAGAACGAAGCAGAGGUUUUCAGUUCCCAUUGCUGCAGCAAAUGAAGAACAAUUCCUAUGCAGCAUUAGUGAUGUAUUUUCUUUGGUCUAUCUUUCACUCAUCACCAUGGUCUCAUCAGAGCUUGCUGAGCCCCGCACACUUUCACAGAGCAGGCUGCAAGCAUCACAGAAGUGACACACCAGGUCCUGAGGGCCAGUUCCAAGAGCUGCAGGGGUGGGCCAGUGCCUCUGUAUUUGAUGAAAGUUGUCAAUCAUCAGCUUCCCAGCUAUGCCAUAGGUUUUGUCCAGAAAAUAUAUAAAGGAUGGAGUCAUCUCUUCCUUUCACCAGUUUACCCCAGCAUCACUCCAUUAACUUCAAUGGCAUUUCUCUUCAUUUAAAUUGAUGUGAGAAAGAAGAGCAUCCAGGACCGGUUACAUCAGUGAGAAUUUUCUUGCUAAAAAUGCAUGUUAAUGACUCCAUGUAGGAUGAGCUUUAUAAAACUGCCCUGCUUUGCCCUAGUUCAACAAUCCCAACUACAAAUGGAGAUUUUGAUAAUAGAACAAUGGGAAAAACAAAGGAUAUUAAAAAUGUCCCAGAUGAACACAUGACAUGGCAAACCACAGUAACCUGCAAGAUCUGG